ACGGGUGAGUAAUGCCUAGGAAAUUGCCUUGAUGUGGGGGAUAACCAUUGGAAACGAUGGCUAAUACCGCAUAAUGCCUACGGGCCAAAGAGGGGGACCUUCGGNCCUCUCGCGUCNAGAUAUGCCUAGGUGGGAUUAGCUAGUUGGUGAGGUAAUGGCUCACCNNGGCGACGAUCCCUAGCUGGUCUGAGAGGAUGAUCAGCCACACUGGAACUGAGACACGGUCCAGACUCCUACGGGAGGCAGCAGUGGGGAAUAUUGCACAAUGGGCGAAAGCCUGAUGCAGCCAUGCCGCGUGUAUGAAGAAGGCCUUCGGGUUGUAAAGUACUUUCAGUUGUGAGGAAGGGUGUGUAGUUAAUANCUGCNNAUCUUGACGUUAGCAACAGAAGAAGCACCGGCUAACUCCGUGCCAGCAGCCGCGGUAAUACGGAGGGUGCGAGCGUUAAUCGGAAUUACUGGGCGUAAAGCGCAUGCAGGUGGUUCAUUAAGUCAGAUGUGAAAGCCCGGGGCUCAACCUCGGAACUGCAUUUGNNNUGGUGAACUAGAGUGCUGUAGAGGGGGGUAGAAUUUCAGGUGUAGCGGUGAAAUGCGUAGAGAUCUGAAGGAAUACCAGUGNCGAAGGCGGCCCCCUGNNCAGACACUGACACUCAGAUGCGAAAGCGUGGGGAGCAAACAGGAUUAGAUACCCUG
Molecule: ribosomal RNA, 690 nt
Filed under: Vibrio sp. KR07-20
Lineage: Bacteria; Pseudomonadati; Pseudomonadota; Gammaproteobacteria; Vibrionales; Vibrionaceae
Description: bacterial SSU rRNA
Rfam family: Bacterial small subunit ribosomal RNA
Source: RNAcentral